RNAcentral lists this unclassified non-coding RNA (408 nucleotides) under soil metagenome. Its description in RNAcentral is "partial contains 5.8S ribosomal RNA, internal transcribed spacer 2, and large subunit ribosomal RNA". The stretch from base 1 to 120 matches the Rfam family "5.8S ribosomal RNA", at positions 35 to 154 of the family's 154-position model. The record is from RNAcentral.
GAUGAAGAACGUAGCGAAAUGCGAUAAGUAAUGUGAAUUGCAGAAUUCAAUGAAUCAUCGAAUCUUUGAACGCACCUUGCGCUCCUUGGCAUUCCGAGGAGCAUGCCUGUUUGAGUGUCAUUAAAUUCUCAAGACCUGUCUGCUUUUUUGAUAGGUAUUGGAUUUUGGGGGUUGCAGGCUGUUUCAAAUAAAUAGCCUUGCUCUCCUUGAAUGUAUUAGUGGAGAAAAGCCAUUGAACUCCAUUGGUGUGAUAAAACCUAUCAAUGCCAGGAGCAAUAUCACUACUUCUCUCUGCUGUCUAACUGUGACUGUCUGUAUUAAUUAGUAUGGAUGGGGACAACUUGACCAACUUGACCUCAAAUCAGGUAGGACUACCCGCUGAACUUAAGCAUAUCAAUAAGCGGAGGA